RNAcentral lists this ribosomal RNA (468 nucleotides) under uncultured bacterium. RNAcentral describes it as "partial 16S ribosomal RNA". It matches the Rfam family "Bacterial small subunit ribosomal RNA", at positions 28 to 507 of the family's 1533-position model. The record is from RNAcentral.
GACGAACGCUGGCGGCGUGCUUAACACAUGCAAGUCGAACGGAAAGGCCCUGCUUUUGUGGGGUGCUCGAGUGGCGAACGGGCGAGUAACACGUGAGUAACCUGCCCUUGACUUUGGGAUAACUUCAGGAAACUGGGGCUAAUACCGGAUCGGAGCUCCUGCUGCAUGGUGGGGGUUGGAAAGUUUCGGCGGUUGGGGAUGGACUCGCGGCUUAUCAGCUUGUUGGUGGGGUAGUGGCUUACCAAGGCUUUGACGGGUUGACGGCCUGAGAGGGUGACCGGCCACAUGGGGACUGAGAUACGGCCCAGACGCCUACGGGAGACAACAGUGGGGAAUAUUGCACAAUGGGCAGAAGCCUAAUGCAACAGCGCCGCGUGCGGGAUGACGGCCUUCGGGUUGUAAACCGCUUUCGCCUGUGACGAAGCGUGAGUGACGGUAAUGGGUAAAGAAGCACCGGCUAACUACGUG